This 535-nucleotide ribosomal RNA is filed under the name Panthera tigris (tiger). Its description in RNAcentral is "partial 12S ribosomal RNA". The stretch from base 1 to 383 matches the Rfam family "Bacterial small subunit ribosomal RNA", at positions 968 to 1533 of the family's 1533-position model. Lineage: Eukaryota; Metazoa; Chordata; Mammalia; Carnivora; Felidae. The record is from RNAcentral.
ACCUCACCAUCUCUUGCUAAUUCAGCCUAUAUACCGCCAUCUUCAGCAAACCCUAAAAAGGAAGAAAAGUAAGCACAAGUAUCUUAACAUAAAAAAGUUAGGUCAAGGUGUAGCCCAUGAGAUGGGGAAGUAAUGGGCUACAUUUUCUACAACUAGAACAUCCACGAAAAUCCUUAUGAAAUUAAGUAUUAAAGGAGGAUUUAGUAGUAAAUUCGAGAAUAGAGAGCUCGAUUGAAUCGGGCCAUGAAGCACGCACACACCGCCCGUCACCCUCCUCAAGUGAUUAGACCCCAAAGAAACCUAUUCAAACCACUACACCCACAAGAGGAGACAAGUCGUAACAAGGUAAGCAUACUGGAAAGUGUGCUUGGAUAACAAGAUGUAGCUUAAACAAAGCAUCUGGCCUACACCCAGAAGAUUUCAUAUUAAACUGACCAUCUUGAGCUAGAGCUAGCCCAACUACCCAUAAACACAACUAACAUUAGAAAGUAAAACAAAACAUUUAGUUACUCUAAAAAGUAUAGGAGAUAGAAAU